This 229-nucleotide ribosomal RNA is filed under the name uncultured bacterium. Its description in RNAcentral is "partial 16S ribosomal RNA". It matches the Rfam family "Bacterial small subunit ribosomal RNA", at positions 568 to 796 of the family's 1533-position model. The record is from RNAcentral.
UGCGUAGGCGGCUUGAUAAGUCAGGGGUGAAAGGCUACAGCUCAACUGUAGAAUUGCCUUUGAUACUGUCGAGCUUGAAUCAGGUUGAGGUUGGCGGAAUGUGGCAUGUAGCGGUGAAAUGCAUAGAUAUGCCAUAGAACACCAAUUGCGAAGGCAGCUGACUGGAACUGCAUUGACGCUGAGGCACGAAAGCGUGGGGAGCGAACAGGAUUAGAUACCCUGGUAGUCC